RNAcentral lists this ribosomal RNA (468 nucleotides) under uncultured bacterium. RNAcentral describes it as "partial 16S ribosomal RNA". It matches the Rfam family "Bacterial small subunit ribosomal RNA", at positions 28 to 507 of the family's 1533-position model. The record is from RNAcentral.
GACGAACGCUGGCGGCGUGCUUAACACAUGCAAGUCGAACGGAAAGGCCCUGCUUUUGUGGGGUGCUCGAGUGGCGAACGGGUGAGUAACACGUGAGUAACCUGUCCUUGACUUUGGGAUAACUUCAGGAAACUGGGGCUAAUACCGGAUAGGAGCUCCUGCUGCAUGGUGGGGGUUGGAAAGUUUCGGCGGUUGGGGAUGGACUCGCGGCUUAUCAGCUUGUUGGUGGGGUAGUGGCUUACCAAGGCUUUGACGGGUAGCCUGCCUGAGAGGGUGACCGGCCACAUUGGGACGGAGAUGCGGCCCAGACUCCUACGGGAGGCAGCAGUGGGGAAUAGUGCACAAUGGGCGGAAGCCUGAUGCAGCAACGCCGCGUGCGGGAUGACGGCCUUCGGGUUGUAUUCCGCUUUCGCCUGUGACGAAGCGUGAGUGACGGUAAUGGGUAAAGAAGCACCGGCUAACUACGUG